Molecule: ribosomal RNA, 254 nt
Filed under: uncultured bacterium
Lineage: Bacteria
Description: partial 16S ribosomal RNA
Rfam family: Bacterial small subunit ribosomal RNA
Source: RNAcentral
GACGAACCGUGCGAGCGUUAUUCGGAAUCACUGGGCUUAAAGCGCGUGUAGGCGGGAGGGCACGUCCGUCGCUGAAAUCCCCCGGCUCAACCGGGGAACGGGCGCGGAUACGACCUUCCUUGAGGGGCGUAGGGGGACCUGGAACUUCCGGGGGAGCGGUGAAAUGCGUUGAGAUCGGAAGGAACGCCCGUGGCGAAAGCGAGGUCCUGGACGCCUACUGACGCUGAGACGCGAAAGCCAGGGGAGCGAACGGG